CCCUUAGAUGUUCUGGGCCGCACGCGCGCUGCACUGAUGCAUUCAACGAGUCCAACCUUGACCGAGAGGUCCGGGUAAUCUUUGAAACUGCAUCGUGAUGGGGCUAGAUUAUUGCAAUUAUUAAUCUUCAACGAGGAAUGCCUAGUAAGCGUGAUUCAUCAAAUCGCGUUGAUUACGUCCCUGCCCUUUGUACACACCGCCCGUCGCUCCUACCGAUUGAGUGUGUUGGUGAGGAGUUUGGAUUGGCCUCGGAAGGUGGUUCGCCACCGUCCGUAGCUGAGAAGUUCUCCAAACCGCCCCACUUAGAGGAAGGAGAAGUCGUANCA
RNAcentral lists this ribosomal RNA (326 nucleotides) under uncultured eukaryote. Its description in RNAcentral is "partial 18S ribosomal RNA". It matches the Rfam family "Eukaryotic small subunit ribosomal RNA", at positions 1470 to 1796 of the family's 1831-position model. The record is from RNAcentral.